UUUAAGGCUGAGACACGACGUCGAGCACCUACGGGUGUGAAGUCAUUGAUGCCAUGCUUCCAGGAAAAGCCUCUAAGCUUCAGAUUGUAAGGAAUCGUACCCCAAACCGACACAGGUGGUCGGGUAGAGAAUACCAAGGCGCUUGAGAGAACUCGGGUGAAGGAACUAGGCAAAAUGGUACCGUAACUUCGGGAGAAGGUACGCUCUCGACGGUGAAGUCCCU
This 223-nucleotide ribosomal RNA is filed under the name Vibrio parahaemolyticus. RNAcentral's name for it is "partial 23S ribosomal RNA". It matches the Rfam family "Bacterial large subunit ribosomal RNA", at positions 1549 to 1770 of the family's 2925-position model. Lineage: Bacteria; Pseudomonadati; Pseudomonadota; Gammaproteobacteria; Vibrionales; Vibrionaceae. The record is from RNAcentral.